GUCGAGAAUCAUUCACAAUGGGGGAAACCCUGAUGGUGCGACGCCGCGUGGAGGAUAAGGUCUUCGGAUUGUAAACUCCUGUCAUGCGAGAGCAAGGUUUUGUGGGUAACUCUGCAGAAUUUGAUAGUAUCGCAAGAGGAAGAGACGGCUAACUCUGUGCCAGCAGCCGCGGUAAUACAGAGGUCUCAAGCGUUGUUCGGAAUCACUGGGCGUAAAGGGUGCGUAGGCGGCGUGGAAAGUCAGAUGUGAAAUCCGGGGGCUCAACCUCCGAAUAGCAUCCGAUACUACCAUGCUAGAGAACUGGAGGGGAGUCUGGAAUUCUCGGUGUAGCAGUGAAAUGCAUAGAUAUCGAGAGGAACACCAGUGGCGAAGGCGAGACUCUGGACAGUAUCUGACGCUGAGGCACGAAGGCCAGGGUAGCGAACGGGAUUAGAAACCCUAGUAGUCC
RNAcentral lists this ribosomal RNA (448 nucleotides) under uncultured bacterium. Its description in RNAcentral is "bacterial SSU rRNA". It matches the Rfam family "Bacterial small subunit ribosomal RNA", at positions 354 to 796 of the family's 1533-position model. The record is from RNAcentral.